This 798-nucleotide ribosomal RNA is filed under the name uncultured bacterium. Its description in RNAcentral is "bacterial SSU rRNA". It matches the Rfam family "Bacterial small subunit ribosomal RNA", at positions 8 to 796 of the family's 1533-position model. The record is from RNAcentral.
AGAGUUUGAUCAUGGCUCAGAGUGAACGCUGGCGGCGUGCUUAACACAUGCAAGUCGAGCGAGAUUUAACAGCGUAUCGUUAGGUCUAGCGGCAGACGGGUGAGUAAUACUUGGGCAAUCUACCCUUAAGUGGGGGACAACCUGCCGAAAGGCGGGCUAAUACCCCAUAAGACCACAGGAAUGCAUAUUCCAGGGGUCAAAGCUCCGCAAGGGGCGCUAAAGGAGGAGCCCGAGUCCUAUCAUGGUAGUUGGCGGGGUAAUGGCCCACCAAGCCGUUGACGGGUAGCCGGCCUGAAAGGGCAACCGGCCACACUGGCACUGAGACACGGGCCAGACUCCUACGGGAGGCAGCAGUGGGGAAUUUUGGACAAUGGGGGCAACCCUGAUCCAGCGACGCCGCGUGGAGGAUGAAGGUCUUCGGAUUGUAAACUCCUUUUAGAGGGGAUGAAUGCCCUGGUGAAUAGCCAGGGGUGACAGUACCCUUUGAAUAAGCCACGGCUAACUACGUGCCAGCAGCCGCGGUAAUACGUAGGUGGCAAGCGUUACUCGGAAUCACUAGGCGUAAAGCGCAGGUAGGAGGUUUGGUAAGUCUGUUGUGAAAGCUCCCGGCUUAACUGGGAGAGGUCAACGGAAACUACUAGGCUGGAGUGCGGUAGAGGUAGCUGGAAUUCCCGGUGUAGCGGUGAAAUGCGUAGAUAUCGGGAGGAAUACCUAUGGCGAAAGCAGGCUACUGGACCGUCACUGACUCUGAUCUGCGAAAGCUAGGGGAGCAAACAGGAUUAGAUACCCUAGUAGUCC